GUGGGGAUGCCGGAGCGGCCAAACGGGCAGCCUUUAAGCGGCUGUGGCUUUUGCCUACGGGGGUUCGAAUCCUCCUCCCCACA
RNAcentral lists this transfer RNA (83 nucleotides) under Candidatus Pacearchaeota archaeon. RNAcentral describes it as "tRNA-Leu". It matches the Rfam family "tRNA". Rfam says of the family: Transfer RNA (tRNA) molecules are approximately 80 nucleotides in length. Their secondary structure includes four short double-helical elements and three loops (D, anti-codon, and T loops). Lineage: Archaea; Nanobdellati. The record is from RNAcentral.